CACGAGCAGCAGGCACCUGAUGAACUAGGCUAUAGGCUAAGAAAGCUCAAGCUACAAUAAAGCUACCACAGGACCAGGAAGAACUCCAAGGGGCAGCAAGACCUAGUGGGCACUCCUGCAAAAGAUUCCACGCUCACCCAUCAGACUGGAACUUUACAGCAAAGUGUCAGACAAUGCAGUCACAGAAGAGGAAACUAGCCUGGAAAACAGACUGGAAGGUUUGGCGUAAUCCAAAAAGGCAGUAUUUUCUAAGAGGCAUCUGGCCCAUUUUCUGAGGAAGUCUGAAAAUGUCAAGUAAGCUUUGUUAAUCAGAUACAUAUUAUCCAUUUGCAGAGGGAGAAUUCUGAAAAGAAAUUGUGAGAGAAGGAAGGAAGAAUACAAGCAGGAGUGCUUAAGAAUCUAGAUUCUGGGGAAGAAGAGUUUAUGAGGUGAUGGAGACAAGGAGAUCUGAAAGAGGGCAAAGACUGAGAGACUGAAAGGGUAAGAGAGAGCAACAGCUGCCUGCCGCCAAGCAACAUUCAUCUAGCAAUACGGCCAGCACCAGGAGACUGAGGCCUGAAAACUGCAGACAAGCCUGAGGGUCUGCUUCUUUACCCAUUUUUUGCAUUACAAAAUCUUGUGAGGCUGCUUCUUCUGGUUUGACUUGACUCAUGAACAACAACUUCCCGAGGAAAUUGUGGUUCAGUGUGUUUGUGUUUAGGGGUGUGUGUGUGUGUGAGAGAGAGAGAGAGAGAGAGAGGAACAAAUGUACAUAAUGUGUUCAAAUUGAUUUAGAAAUAUUAGUGUUUACAUGUUUAUAUUAUUUCACUCCCUCCAAACCAGUGUUCCCUGUAACAGAUUUGCUGAGGAUUUAACAGAUUCACAGAGGACAAUUCCCACCAUCCUCAGCUGCUGCUGAUGGGAGUUGUAGUCAACAAUAUUUGGGAAUCCCUGUAACAGGGAGCACUGUUCUGAACAGGGGUUGUGAGGGCAUGGCAAGAAACUGGGAGAAAUGGGGAAGAAACCCCUGUUUGGGGGUGUCCCCCCAUUUCAGGGGGGGGGUUCUAGGCCUUCACAUCUCUACCUUGAACUCAUUUCUGUGUUUUCUCUGAAGUGUGGGAGAAAUAUGAGGUUUACAUAAGUAUGUAUAAAAUUAUCUGAAUAGGGCUUCUAUCUUUGCCUUACUUCACCCUUCCCUCAACUUAACAGGAGCUAGACUUAAUACCCUUAUGUUUAAGUGAUAUAUUUCUAAAUAAGUAAGUACUAGAAAAAUUACUACUAAUUACUAAUACUAUUUCCAGCACACUCUCUCCACAACGAGGAUAACCGUGCCAUCAGAACUACCUACUGCUCAGGAACUGAGGAUCUGCAAAAUAGUAUUUCAGGUUUCAGAAUUAAGAUAAAAUGAUAGGCUGCUUAGAUAAAUUAAGAUAAAAUGAUAGGCCGCUUAGACAGGGGCAUACCAGAAUGGCUAGACCUAUAUAACCCUGGGCCUUUAUGAUGCACAAUAAUGGCAUCACAUCACUGUGACCUUGCUCUGACAUUGGAGGCAGCUCCACACAAAUAUUUAGGAUUGUGGAGACAGGACUGAAAGCUAUUCUCAAGCUGUGCUAGAUCAGUUCCGUCUAUUUCAGCUAGGCCUAAUGAUAUCAUUUUGGAGUAAGUCAUUUCUGGAUUGCAGCUGUAAUGGGCUGAAAAUGAGGCAUUUGAUGUUUUAAAUAAAUCUCUUCUGGAAAGGAAUACAGCGUCAGAGCAAAAUACUUUUAAAGGGAAAACUACACUUCUUCCAUAGAUUAUUUUUAAUGGCUGUCUGUCUGAAGAAAAUAAAGUUGAGAAACUAUUAGACACCAGUUAAAUUAAAUGAAAUUACACCGUUUGGCAUUCUGCCAUAAAGAAUCUGUACAUGCCAUUCAUGCAAAAUCAGCCUUGGGAGAAACAGAGCUCACACUGAGAUUCUCAUUUUUGUCUUCAACGUUCUUAAGCAGUUCCAUUAAAAUCAA
This is a long non-coding RNA of Hemicordylus capensis (graceful crag lizard), 1979 nucleotides long. RefSeq lists it as uncharacterized. Lineage: Eukaryota; Metazoa; Chordata; Lepidosauria; Squamata; Cordylidae. The transcript has 3 exons. The record is from RefSeq and is a predicted model, not a curated record.